This 468-nucleotide ribosomal RNA is filed under the name uncultured bacterium. RNAcentral describes it as "partial 16S ribosomal RNA". It matches the Rfam family "Bacterial small subunit ribosomal RNA", at positions 28 to 507 of the family's 1533-position model. The record is from RNAcentral.
GACGAACGCUGGCGGCGUGCUUAACACAUGCAAGUCGAACGGAAAGGCCCUGCUUUUGUGGGGUGCUCGAGUGGCGAACGGGUGAGUAACACGUGAGUAACCUGCCCUUGACUUUGGGAUAACUUCAGGAAACUGGGGCUAAUACCGGAUAGGAGCUCCUGCUGCAUGGUGGGGGUUGGAAAGUUUCGGCGGUUGGGGAUGGACUCGCGGCUUAUCAGCUUGUUGGUGGGGUAGUGGCUUACCAAGGCAUUGACGGGUAGCCGGCCUGAGAGGGUGACCGGCGACAUUGGGACUGAGAUACGGCCCAGACUCCUACGGGAGGCAGCAGUGGGGAAUAUUGCACAACGGGCGGAAGCCUGAUGCAGCAACGCCGCGUGCGGGAUGACGGCCUUCGGGUUGUAAACCGCUUUCGCCUGUGACGAAGCGGGAGUGACGGUAAUGGGUAAAGAAGCACCGGCUAACUACGUG